AGAAAGACUGGCACCUGCAGUGAACUUCAGAAUUUUCUUUAUUUUUCUUUUUUUGACAGGUGAGUGUGACUAUGCUGCCUGGAGAAUUUCUUGCCUGGCGCUCUCUGCAGCUUCCACCUGGCUCUGAGGUCCGUAUCCUGCCUCCAGCAGUAUCUGCACAAGCCCCUACUUUUGGAGCGGUAUGGAUCUUCUGCCAGCUUUCGGCCUCCUUCAAAUGCACGGCCUGUCAGCUCCUCACGACUCUGCUUGAAGCUGUAGUGCUGAAACUGGGACACCAGCUGAAUGCUCCUUUUGGACCUCCACUCCACUGCAGGCAAGUACCCUGACCUUUGCUGUGGAGCCAGUCCUGCUGGCUCACUUAAUAUAAAGCUCAAAAUCUGCAGCAGGAGGACCCAGGCAUCCCCACAGUGACUCUGGAAUGUGGUUUUGGGCACCAUCCUAGGAGGUGGAAGAAAUGGACUCAGAUCUCUUCAGGCAGAAAAGGGGGCUGAUUCCAGCAUUUCACACACCUUGGGUGAGAGCUCUAACUACUACUGGGUAGAAAAAUUCCUGCCAUUCUGAG
RNAcentral lists this long non-coding RNA (562 nucleotides) under Struthio camelus australis. RNAcentral describes it as "lncRNA (ENSSCUG00000007205.1)". The record is from RNAcentral. Lineage: Eukaryota; Metazoa; Chordata; Aves; Struthioniformes; Struthionidae.